Molecule: non-coding RNA, 239 nt
Filed under: Bacillus sp. (in: firmicutes)
Lineage: Bacteria; Bacillati; Bacillota; Bacilli; Caryophanales; Bacillaceae
Also listed under: 1 other name
Description: Bacillus sp. T-box sequence
Rfam family: T-box leader
About the family: Uncharged tRNA acts as the effector for transcription antitermination of genes in the T-box leader family. T-boxes are found upstream of many aminoacyl-tRNA synthetase genes and some amino acid biosynthetic genes usually in Gram-positive bacteria.
Source: RNAcentral
GACAUGGCGUUGAUAGGGAGAGUACAAUUUUCUUUUGCUUUUAUUAGCGAAUCGAGGAUGGUGAAAGCUCGGUAAAGUGAUAAAUUGGAAAAUCACCCUUGAGUUCCAGGUCGAACUCACUUUUUGUGAUAGUAGGCUUAUGGCGGAUCAUUCACGUUACGAAUGCUAAGAGGAUGGUACGAAGCUUCGUACUUUUCUAUUAGGGUGGUACCGCGGGAAUAAACCUUCUCGUCCCUAUU